This is a long non-coding RNA of Arachis ipaensis, 195 nucleotides long. RefSeq lists it as uncharacterized. The record is from RefSeq and is a predicted model, not a curated record. Lineage: Eukaryota; Viridiplantae; Streptophyta; Magnoliopsida; Fabales; Fabaceae.
AGAAAAGAGAAGGCGAGGUUGGAAGAAAGAAAGUUCUUCAAUACACUCGAUAUGCGUCAGUUGGAUUUGCAAUUGUACAGGCAAUUGGCCAAGUCCUCUUUUUACGUCCUUAUGUGAAUGACUUUAGUACCGACUGAAGCAGACAUGCAGAAAUUGAGUCAUGCGUUAAAAGUACAUUCAGAAACAGAGAAGCAA